GGGAAUGUGGCUCAAUGGUAGAGUGCUUGCCUAGCAUGCAUGAAGCCCUGGGUUCGAUUCCCCAGUACCA
RNAcentral lists this transfer RNA (70 nucleotides) under Dipodomys ordii (Ord's kangaroo rat). It matches the Rfam family "tRNA". Rfam says of the family: Transfer RNA (tRNA) molecules are approximately 80 nucleotides in length. Their secondary structure includes four short double-helical elements and three loops (D, anti-codon, and T loops). Further hydrogen bonds mediate the characteristic L-shaped molecular structure. tRNAs have two regions of fundamental functional importance: the anti-codon, which is responsible for specific mRNA codon recognition, and the 3' end, to which the tRNAs corresponding amino acid is attached (by aminoacyl-tRNA synthetases). tRNAs cope with the degeneracy of the genetic code in two manners: having more than one tRNA (with a specific anti-codon) for a particular amino acid; and 'wobble' base-pairing, i.e. permitting non-standard base-pairing at the 3rd anti-codon position. Lineage: Eukaryota; Metazoa; Chordata; Mammalia; Rodentia; Heteromyidae. The record is from Rfam by way of RNAcentral.